AACGAACGCUGGCGGCAUGCCUAACACAUGCAAGUCGAACGAGACCUUCGGGUCUAGUGGCGCACGGGUGCGUAACGCGUGGGAACCUGCCAUUAGGUUCGGAAUAACUCCCCGAAAGGGGUGCUAAUACCGGCUAAUGUCUUCGGCCCAAAGAUUUAUCGCCUUUGGAUGGGCCCGCGUUGGAUUAGCUAGUUGGUAGGGUAAAAGCCUACCAAGGCGACGAUCCUUAGCUGGUCUGAGAGGAUGAGCAGCCACACUGGGACUGAGACACGGCCCAGACUCCUACGGGAGGCAGCAGUGGGGAAUAUUGGGCAGGGGGCGAGAGCCUGAUCCAGCCAGGCAGCGUGAGUGAUGAAGGCAUUAGGGUUGUAAAGCUCUUUUCCCCGGGAUGAUAAUGACAGGACCGGGAGAAUAAGCCACGGCUAACCACGUG
Molecule: ribosomal RNA, 433 nt
Filed under: uncultured bacterium
Lineage: Bacteria
Description: partial 16S ribosomal RNA
Rfam family: Bacterial small subunit ribosomal RNA
Source: RNAcentral